AAAAAGAUAAGCUAACUAAGCUACUGGGCUCAUACCCCAUCAAUAAAGGUCCACCCCUUUUCUUUUUA
RNAcentral lists this transfer RNA (68 nucleotides) under Dynastes hercules hercules. RNAcentral's name for it is "tRNA-Met". Lineage: Eukaryota; Metazoa; Arthropoda; Insecta; Coleoptera; Scarabaeidae. The record is from RNAcentral.